AGCGAACGCUGGCGACAGGCCUAACACAUGCAAGUCGAACGAACUCUUCGGAGUUAGUGGCGGACGGGUGAGUAACACGUGGGAACGUGCCUUUAGGUUCGGAAUAACUCAGGGAAACUUGUGCUAAUACCGAAUGUGCCCUUCGGGGGAAAGAUUUAUCGCCUUUAGAGCGGCCCGCGUCUGAUUAGCUAGUUGGUGAGGUAAAGGCUCACCAAGGCGACGAUCAGUAGCUGGUCUGAGAGGAUGAUCAGCCACAUUGGGACUGAGACACGGCCCAAACUCCUACGGGAGGCAGCAGUGGGGAAUCUUGCGCAAUGGGCGAAAGCCUGACGCAGCCAUGCCGCGUGAAUGAUGAAGGUCUUAGGAUUGUAAAAUUCUUUCACCGGGGACGAUAAUGACGGUACCCGGAGAAGAAGCCCCGGCUAACUUCGUG
RNAcentral lists this ribosomal RNA (433 nucleotides) under uncultured bacterium. RNAcentral's name for it is "partial 16S ribosomal RNA". It matches the Rfam family "Bacterial small subunit ribosomal RNA", at positions 29 to 507 of the family's 1533-position model. The record is from RNAcentral.